This 579-nucleotide ribosomal RNA is filed under the name uncultured bacterium. RNAcentral's name for it is "bacterial SSU rRNA". It matches the Rfam family "Bacterial small subunit ribosomal RNA", at positions 224 to 795 of the family's 1533-position model. The record is from RNAcentral.
GAUGCGCCCAGAUGGGAUUAGCUAGUAGGUGGGGUAAUGGCUCACCUAGGCGACGAUCCCUAGCUGGUCUGAGAGGAUGACCAGCCACACUGGAACUGAGACACGGUCCAGACUCCUACGGGAGGCAGCAGUGGGGAAUAUUGCACAAUGGGCGCAAGCCUGAUGCAGCCAUGCCGCGUGUAUGAAGAAGGCCUUCGGGUUGUAAAGUACUUUCAGCGGGGAGGAAGGUGUUGAGGUUAAUAACCUCAGCAAUUGACGUUACCCGCAGAAGAAGCACCGGCUAACUCCGUGCCAGCAGCCGCGGUAGUACGGAGGGUGCAAGCGUUAAUCGGAAUUACUGGGCGUAAAGCGCACGCAGGCGGUCUGUCAAGUCGGAUGUGAAAUCCCCGGGCUCAACCUGGGAACUGCAUUCGAAACUGGCAGGCUAGAGUCUUGUAGAGGGGGGUAGAAUUCCAGGUGUAGCGGUGAAAUGCGUAGAGAUCUGGAGGAAUACCGGUGGCGAAGGCGGCCCCCUGGACAAAGACUGACGCUCAGGUGCGAAAGCGUGGGGAGCAAACAGGAUUAGAUACCCUGGUAGUC